AUUGACCGCUGGCGGCAGGCCUAACACAUGCAAGUCGAGCGGAGCGGCGGACGGGUGAGUAAUGCCUAGGAAUCUGCCUGGUAGUGGGGGAUAACGUCCGGAAACGGGCGCUAAUACAGCAUACUAUCAGAUGAGCCUAGGUCGGAUUAGCUGGUUGGUGGGGUAACGGCCUAACACUGCGACGAUCCGUAACUGGUGUGAGAGGAUGAUCCGUCACAAUGUAAAUGAGACACGGUCCAGAAGCCUACGGGAGGCAGCAGUGGGGAAUAUUGGAAAAUGGGCUAAAGCCGGAUCCAGCCAUGCGGCGUGUGUGAAGAAGGUCUUCGGAUUGUAAAGCACUUUAAUUUGGGAGGCGUGACCAACAGAAUAAGCACCGUCUAACUUCGUGCCAGCAGCCGCGGUAAUUC
This 407-nucleotide ribosomal RNA is filed under the name uncultured bacterium. Its description in RNAcentral is "partial 16S ribosomal RNA". It matches the Rfam family "Bacterial small subunit ribosomal RNA", at positions 30 to 526 of the family's 1533-position model. The record is from RNAcentral.